UGCAAGUCGAACGGAGCACCCUUGAUUGAGGUUUCGGCCAAAUGAUAGGGAUGCUUAGUGGCGGACUGGUGAGUAACGCGUGAGGAACCUGCCUCUCAGAGGGGGACAACAGUUGGAAACGACUGCUAAUACCGCAUGACACAUCGGAAGGGCAUCCUUCUGAUGUCAAAGAUUUUAUCGCUGAGAGAUGGCCUCGCGUCUGAUUAGCUGGUUGGUGAGGUAAUGGCCCACCAAGGCGACGAUCAGUAGCCGGACUGAGAGGUUGACCGGCCACAUUGGGACUGAGAUACGGCCCAGACUCCUACGGGAGGCAGCAGUGGGGAAUAUUGGGCAAUGGACGCAAGUCUGACCCAGCAACGCCGCGUGAAGGAAGAAGGCUUUCGGGUUGUAAACUUCUUUUGUCAGGGAAGAGCAGAAGACGGUACCUGACGAAUAAGCCACGGCUAACUACGUGCCAGCAGCCGCGGUAAUACGUAGGUGGCAAGCGUUGUCCGGAUUUACUGGGUGUAAAGGGCGUGCAGCCGGGCCGGCAAGUCAGAUGUGAAAUCCACGAGCUUAACUCGUGAACUGCAUUUGAAACUGUUGGUCUUGAGUAUCGGAGAGGUAAUCGGAAUUCCUUGUGUAGCGGUGAAAUGCGUAGAUAUAAGGAAGAACACCAGUGGCGAAGGCGGAUUACUGGACGACA
This 685-nucleotide ribosomal RNA is filed under the name uncultured bacterium. RNAcentral describes it as "bacterial SSU rRNA". It matches the Rfam family "Bacterial small subunit ribosomal RNA", at positions 56 to 738 of the family's 1533-position model. The record is from RNAcentral.